GAGGGCCAUGAGGUUAAGAUCUCAUAGCUAGUCAAUGGCCGAACUAGGUCCCUUUCAGUUGCCAAUUUUUCACAUUCUAUGUGCUAACAAUCUCAGUGAAUGAAAUUUUACUGUGAGGAAGUUUAGAAAAAGCAUCAGCAAUUGAAAUCUACAGAUAAUCUUAAAGCUCCAGGGUUUCCACUUUUGGUAAAACUCUGUUGUUUAAAGUUACUCCUGAUGAAGCAAAACUAAUGGUGUGUGUCCAUAGGCUGGUGGAGAUGCUACUGAGCAGAGAAUUAUCCACAAUUCAAGAAGCUAAUGAGAAUGGGGGAAGGAGAAACAAAUGGCACCGAGUCCAAAGCCAAGUUCAACGUCACUCCAUCUGUUUGAGAGAAAGACAAGUCAGAAUUUUCCUGGAUUCAGCCCCAUGACCUCUCCAGAAAUUCCAACAUAACUGAACACGCUAUGAAUAUCUAUAUGCAUUUGACACUGAAACAGGUAGUAGUUUUCAUUGGUUGCUUCUACAGCCUUGUUGCCUCCUGUCUUCUCUAUUUCUAACAGGACCCUGUGAUUUAGGGAGUCCCAGGAGUUUCAGAACGACAUUUUAUAACCACAUGAGGCUGGUCUGUUGAAAUCAGUGUUACUUUGAGGAAGCAUUGCUAAGAAA
Molecule: non-coding RNA, 646 nt
Organism: Kogia breviceps (pygmy sperm whale)
Lineage: Eukaryota; Metazoa; Chordata; Mammalia; Artiodactyla; Physeteridae
Source: RefSeq, a predicted model, not a curated record